Molecule: long non-coding RNA, 444 nt
Organism: Stomoxys calcitrans (stable fly)
Lineage: Eukaryota; Metazoa; Arthropoda; Insecta; Diptera; Muscidae
Exons: 3
Source: RefSeq, a predicted model, not a curated record
CAUCCACACAAACAAAGACAUCAAUAUAUAUCGAGUCCCUGAACAAAACAUCUGACUUGCACUGGAUAGGACUAAAAUAAAACACAGCAUAUUUAUUAAAACAAACCGCAAACAACAUUGACAAAGUAAAUAGAAAAUAACUAGAUUGACUGUUAUUGCAUGAUAUCUGAUUAAAAUAGUGUGUUUUGUUUUGGUACUGAAAUGGCAUGGUGAAACAAUUAAAUGUGGUCUUAUUUAUACAACAACCACAAAUCAUAUGGUGCAAUCCGCCAUCUUGUCAUCAAGAUGUUAUUUCAAAAACGACACUGUUCUUAACACAACAAAAAAAACAUGCGCUGGUGUGUGUACGUGUACAGUAUCAUCCGAAGAACCAAUCAGUGCUAGAAGGAAAAAUUCUGAAUUAUUUUUAUAUGCAAAAUUGAAAAAAGCGAAUAUAAGUGAACA